This 252-nucleotide ribosomal RNA is filed under the name uncultured Odoribacter sp. RNAcentral describes it as "partial 16S ribosomal RNA". It matches the Rfam family "Bacterial small subunit ribosomal RNA", at positions 524 to 776 of the family's 1533-position model. The record is from RNAcentral. Lineage: Bacteria; Pseudomonadati; Bacteroidota; Bacteroidia; Bacteroidales; Odoribacteraceae.
UACGGAGGAUGCGAGCGUUAUCCGGAUUUAUUGGGUUUAAAGGGUGCGUAGGCGGCAUUAUAAGUUAGUGGUAAAAUAUUGGGGCUUCACCUCACUACGCCAUUAAUACUGUAGAGCUAGAGAACAGACGAGGUAGGCGGAAUAAGUUAAGUAGCGGUGAAAUGCAUAGAUAUAUGGAAGAACACCAGUGGCGAAAGCGGCUCUCUGGUCUGUAACUGACGCUGAGGUUCGAAAGCGUGGGUAGCAAACAGG